Molecule: ribosomal RNA, 497 nt
Filed under: uncultured bacterium
Lineage: Bacteria
Description: partial 16S ribosomal RNA
Rfam family: Bacterial small subunit ribosomal RNA
Source: RNAcentral
GAUGAACGCUGGCGGCGUGCCUAAUACAUGCAAGUCGAGCGAACAGACGAGGAGCUUGCUCCUCUGACGUUAGCGGCGGACGGGUGAGUAACACGUGGAUAACCUACCUAUAAGACUGGGAUAACUUCGGGAAACCGGAGCUAAUACCGGAUAAUAUAUUGAACCGCAUGGUUCAAUAGUGAAAGACGGUUUUGCUGUCACUUAUAGAUGGAUCCGCGCCGCAUUAGCUAGUUGGUAAGGUAACGGCUUACCAAGGCAACGAUGCGUAGCCGACCUGAGGGGGUGAUCGGCCACACUGGAACUGAGACACGGUCCAGACUCCUACGGGAGGCAGCAGUAGGGAAUCUUACGCAAUGGGCGAAAGCCUGACGGAGCAACGCCGCGUGAGUGAUGAAGGUCUUCGGAUCGUAAAACUCUGUUAUUAGGGAAGAACAAAUGUGUAAGUAACUAUGCACGUCUUGACGGUACCUAAUCAGAAAGCCACGGCUAACUACGUG